Molecule: long non-coding RNA, 1265 nt
Filed under: Capra hircus (goat)
Lineage: Eukaryota; Metazoa; Chordata; Mammalia; Artiodactyla; Bovidae
Description: lncRNA (ENSCHIG00000004402.1)
Source: RNAcentral
CGCCCCUUCCGCAGGGCGCGCUCUGAAGAGCCCCCCCCUCGCCCAUGGGCCCGCCCCCAGUAGCUCCGAUCCCGCCCCUUCUUUGGGGCGCGCUCCGUAGAGUCUCUGAGCUGGACUGGACCCAUGGCUCAUCCCGUUUCGGUGCGGAUCCAGCGCAGCGCCCGCGCCCGGCGUGCCUAAAGAGCUGUCACGCUGAGACUUUCUCCAGGAGCUGGGGCGGAGUGCUGAUAUUUUUAUAGCAGCAGAGUGUGCCAGAGGCCAGCAGCUGCUCGGGGAAGGCACUGCUAGGCUGCUUCACCACAGUCCUGGAGAAUGGAUGAUGGCUGUCUGAUGAUGCACUGGAACCUGGGCACUUGCUUGUCAUCCCACUCUUGCAACCCUCCCAGGAACUGUGUGGCUCCUUUGGUCAGAGAAGGACUGUAACAGAGGCCUGACUCUUUCCUGUUGAUGUUUAGCUUUUCAAUCUUAACGUUGGUAGCAUAUAUUCUCCUAACAUGGAAGAGAAGAAACUUAAUGAAAGUGAUUAUACAUGUAAGGAUCAAUCCAUGUACACAUGGAGAAAAUAUUUAAUGUGCCAGACCCUGAAAUUAUGUGCUAAGCAAUGAAAUAAAGUGGCAAGCCACCACUGAAAAAUACAAACCAAAGAGCAAGUUUUUAUGUGCAUUUUAAACUAUUUAGAGAUGAUAAAGUUGAAGGAAACAGCAAAUAUUUUCAUUUAUUCAUAUGGUAGUUGUAUGAACAGAAAAAAUUCUGGAGCAAUGUAUACUUUGUUAACACCAAAACAGAAUGGCAUUUCUGGGGAGUUUUCACUUUUGAUGUUGUAUGUGUUUGUAGUAGUCUAACAUUAUAGCAAAUAUGCUGCACUAUUUGUAAUGAUAGGAAAACCGAUAAAGUUAAAUAAUAGCAAAUUUACUGGGAAGAGAAGAUGACAUUACCAAAAAGCUGGAGCAGAUAUGGGAAGGCAGGAACUCUCACACUCCUCACUUGGGAGAAUAAAUUGGCACAACUUGGGGAAGUAACUGAUCACAUCUAGCAAGUUGCAACAGCACAUGCCCUUUGACAUGGCAAUUCCCCAUCUAGGAAUGUGCCCUAGGGAGUUAACACACAUGGCACACGUGUGCACAAGACGUGGACGGCAGCACUGUCUGUGAUGGUGAAAAAAAUUGGAAACCUACACGUAUACAUGUAGAAGGUAUACAUUGUGGCAUACUCACUGAAGAGAAAACUCUUAUCACAGUUGAAAAUGAGUAAACCCUAUCCUACAG